Molecule: long non-coding RNA, 384 nt
Organism: Pseudophryne corroboree (corroboree frog)
Lineage: Eukaryota; Metazoa; Chordata; Amphibia; Anura; Myobatrachidae
Exons: 3
Source: RefSeq, a predicted model, not a curated record
AUCCAGCGGGAGCGCGCACUCCUCAACAUUGCGCGGCACCGACAGCAGCCCCGAGCUCCGCCCCGUAGAGGGGAAGGAGAGGGCGUGCCAUGCCAGAGCACAGAGAAACAACUAAGGGAGGGGCGGGGCAGGGCGAGUAAACAUAAAGAAACGGGGCGUGCUGAGAUGGAGAGAGGCGGGGCGAGGCGUGACGGAGCGUCACACAGAGGGGACUGGGAGCUCUGGCUGUGGUUCCAGAUUCUCCAGGAGAAGCAGUGACCGCCUGUUCUUGUCACCAACCCCGAAGAGAACACACAGAUCAUUGUCUAAUGUCCCUGCCUGGUGUAGAUUUUGACAUCAGUACGAGAAUGGCAGAGCAUACAACAGAGUGCAGAGCUGUGUGAU